This is an unclassified non-coding RNA of Cavia aperea (Brazilian guinea pig), 313 nucleotides long. Its record names the gene 7SK. It matches the Rfam family "7SK RNA". Rfam says of the family: 7SK was discovered as an abundant small nuclear RNA in the mid-70s but a possible function has only recently been suggested. Two independent studies have found that 7SK RNA binds the CDK9/cyclin T complex (known as elongation factor P-TEFb). P-TEFb activates transcription by phosphorylating the C-terminal domain of RNA polymerase II. The record is from Ensembl. Lineage: Eukaryota; Metazoa; Chordata; Mammalia; Rodentia; Caviidae.
GGAGGGUUUGUAUGACAUCUGUCAUCCCUUUGAUUGCCAGGGUGGAUGGGGCUGAUCUGGCUGGCUAGGUAGGUGUCCUUCCUUCCUUUACUGCUCCGUGUGUGUCCUUCCCGAAGCUGUGCGCUUGGGGAGGACAACCACCCGGGAGAGGAGGACGGUCUGCUUGGUCAAGGGUGUGUGAGUAGUGUGUGGGUAGCUGUGCUGCCCUGCUGGAACUGUUGCAGUAAGGCUUCCGGUAACCAGCAGAGAAUUGGUAGUUAAGUUUUUUGGGAAUCAAAAAUUAUACGUGGUUUUUCAAAAACUCCUCUCAUGU